Molecule: ribosomal RNA, 700 nt
Filed under: uncultured beta proteobacterium
Lineage: Bacteria; Pseudomonadati; Pseudomonadota; Betaproteobacteria
Description: bacterial SSU rRNA
Rfam family: Bacterial small subunit ribosomal RNA
Source: RNAcentral
GGUCUGGCGGCGAGUGGCGAACGGGUGAGUAAUGUAUCGGAACGUGCCCAGUAGCGGGGGAUAACUACUCGAAAGAGUAGCUAAUACCGCAUACGCCCUACGGGGGAAAGGGGGGGAUCGCAAGACCUCUCACUAUUGGAGCGGCCGAUAUCGGAUUAGCUAGUCGGUGAGGUAAAGGCUCACCAAGGCGACGAUCCGUAGCUGGUUUGAGAGGACGACCAGCCACACUGGGACUGAGACACGGCCCAGACUCCUACGGGAGGCAGCAGUGGGGAAUUUUGGACAAUGGGGGCAACCCUGAUCCAGCCAUCCCGCGUGUGCGAUGAAGGCCUUCGGGUUGUAAAGCACUUUUGGCAGGAAAGAAAUCGCAUGGAUUAAUACUCUGUGUGGAUGACGGUACCUGCAGAAUAAGCACCGGCUAACUACGUGCCAGCAGCCGCGGUAAUACGUAGGGUGCAAGCGUUAAUCGGAAUUACUGGGCGUAAAGCGUGCGCAGGCGGUUCGGAAAGAAAGAUGUGAAAUCCCAGGGCUUAACCUUGGAACUGCAUUUUUAACUCCCGAGCUAGAGUGCGUCAGAGGGGGGUGGAAUUCCGCGUGUAGCAGUGAAAUGCGUAGAUAUGCGGAGGAACACCGAUGGCGAAGGCAGCCCCCUGGGAUGACACUGACGCUCAUGCACGAAAGCGUGGGGAGCAAACAGGAU